This is a long non-coding RNA of Chinchilla lanigera (long-tailed chinchilla), 15031 nucleotides long. RefSeq lists it as uncharacterized. The record is from RefSeq and is a predicted model, not a curated record. The transcript has 6 exons. Lineage: Eukaryota; Metazoa; Chordata; Mammalia; Rodentia; Chinchillidae.
GCCCCAAGCUUUCCUGCAUGAUAAAGAAAAAGGAGACAAGGUCCCUACCCUUGAAACAAGAAUUAUAAUAAGUCUUAAUGUUCCAGGUAAGAGGGAAAAUGUUAUGAUAAAAGUUCUUAUAAUAACAAUAGCAGUAGCUAACAUAGACUGAGCAAAUGCCAUGUAAAUUUAAAACAAUGUGCCAAACUUCAUUUUAAAUUAAUUUUUAAUCUUCAAAAAAUGUCUAUCUGGAAGUGCUUUUUCCUGAUAUAACAGAUAAGGAAGGUGGACUCAGAUAUUGUAAGAAAAUUGCAAAGUGACCCAGCCUGAGAAUUCAGGUGGUUUACCAGGUCACAACCUGACUCUCAGUGUGGCCCAAGGUGCCUCUGGCUGUCCAGGGGAGGGUAAGGGAGACCCCCAGCUUCCAGCAGGUGUGUGGGAAGAGAAGUCCCAGACCAGGCGUUCUGCUCUGCCGGAGGUCAGGACCCUUGGGAAGAUCAGCUGGACUUGUGCAUCCAAGGACGUUCAGCACACAUCCUUUCCCCAAAUUUACAUCAUUAAACAGAAAUUACCAUGCCUUAUGUAAAGGCUGUCACCCUUUUGUAAAAUCAAAAGUCAUUUGUAAUUGAGAUAAGCCGCAUGGAGGACUACACAUUUGAAACACGCUGCAUUAAACCUGCCUCCUCCAGUGAAAUCCUGAGCAUCGUGGGCACAUAGGCCUCCUGUCUCGUCUUCCAAAUUAAGGGCACUCAGCAGAGCUGCCACAUUGGGCACUAAUGAAUUCUCAGAGACUAAUCUGAGCGGUAAUGAGGACUGGAAUCUGUCACUCACUCUCCCUGGAGGUAACAGUUCACACACCCUUACAUCACCCCAUUAAAAUAACUUAUUAGCUGCGUAGUUUGUCUGCUGCUAUUCGUUAAGAAGGUGUGAUCAAAGAGACAUGCUUUUGGACAAGCGACACAAUUUAAUUCGUAUUGUUCUCUGUUUUUAUGGCUGAAUGUCUACAGGACAUGCUGCAGGUAAAUCAAAGCAUUUUACACAGGAUGUAAGUAUCUUACGGGAAGUAUCAAAAAAUCAUGACUUUUUACCAAUCAAAUGAAAAACAAAGGUAGCUGAGAAUCUGCAUCCAGUUCAGAAUUGAGGGGAAUCUUGCACACUCCGUUCCCUGUACUUCUCGCUCUUGUUUUCAUAAAAGGCUUUCAGUAGAGGUGUAAUGCAUUAUGCCAUGAAACCAUUGUUAAAUUAUUCUGAAAGCUAAACUGGGAGGGUAAAUUUAGAUAGAAUAACCAGGAGUGGAGUGAAAUUUUUAUCAGAAAUCUAGCAGAUUAUGUAAACACUUUGCUGUUUAAUUUUUGUCAGUGUAUCUCAGUGAUACUGUGGGUUUUGAUCUCAUACAGAGAUUACUGAAGUUCUGGGUCUCCCUUUUGAGAAAGGUAUAAUCUUGGGGGAUAUCAUUUAGCCUUUCAUGUUCACAUGCAGAAUGAGAAUAAAAUGAUUCUCCCUCAUACUUGUGUCCUUGGGAGGAUUACAUGUAACUUUGCCUGUCCCUUGUAAAUUUUCAAAAAUAUCUAUUGCUAUCCCAGUCACCAUGGUUGUUCUGUUUCCUCCAACAAAUUCAGACACUUUUUUAUAUUUUUAAAUUGAAAACAUUUUUGUUUGCUUUUGAUGGAUAUUUCAAAUAUAACACCUACAGAGUGCAGUUUACAAGUAUUGGAAAGCAACUUGGACUCCUUAUUAAACCAAGUGGUCACUUUUGCAGCCCUGCAGCCCUCUACUUACCCAUCCUUCACUGAAGAGGGCCAUAUCUUGCAUAGUUCUACUAGCUUUUAUCUUUGUGAUUUUAACUAAGUACCUUUAACUUUAAAGCUUCAUGUUCUUCAUCCUUGGAAAAGAGACAAAAUACCUCUUUUUCAUGGCACUGUGCAGAUUAAAUCAAACGAAUGGUGUGAGCCAUCUAUCAGCACACACAAAGGCUCAAAAACCUGCAAUGGUUGUGAUUGCUCGUGACUCCACUGGUCCACCGUCUCUCUGCAAGAGGCAGCCCUGUGUCAUUUCCUGACAGUUGUGUAAAUGCAGGCUGUACCUCUUCACCCUUUUCUGUUCUCUCUUGUGUCCUCAAAAGCCUGCAGUCCCCAGGAAACUGCCUGGAGGUGGACUGGUUUGAGAACAGAACUUUUCAAACUAGACCAUGUCAUACUUCUAUAGACUGUCUGAGUUUGGCCUCAUUCUUUCAGCAAGCUAUGCAAAGCUCCUAUGUUAGUGUCCUAGUUGUUAUGUUUUUCGAUCAUUAAUUGACUAAGUAUCAUUAACACAAAUUUGAAAUAACAUUAAGAUUCAUGUUAUUAGUGAGGAGCACAAAUCACUCAUAGACUUCCCAAACUGCAGUGGCACCUCAGUUCACGACCUUCAUUUUCGCUAUGAUUUUGGUCACAGAAUUCCUUCCACUGCAACCAGAAUUGUGGAAAGAAUUAAGUUUAUGAAUGUAGGUACAACUGUAUAGGGUAAAAAGAAUAGUUUAAAAGUAGCAGUUAUAUGGGCACAGUUAUUCCAUAACAGGUAGAAGAAGAGAUUUCAGUUAAUUUUGUAUUUUUCAGAGUUCAUAAAUUCAUAAGCACCCAACAAAAUCUCACCCGAAUGCUGUUUGAACAAAUUGGACUCUUUCUUACAUUUGGACCUUGGCAUGAACAUGUUCUGAAGGUUUUAUUCAUGAGAAACAUACAAUUGAGGCAUUAACUUUCCACCAUUUUGCAUGAAAUGUGUCUUUCCAGAUUUAUGUUCCCUACAAAUCUUAUCACAGUUUUCUAAAAUGCAGUAUAGUUUCUUUUAAAAAAUUAUUUUAGAUAUUUUGAAAGUACACAUAAAGCAAAAGCUCUGGUAUUUUUCUUGUGAGGUCUGCCACAUCCUCCAGAGAUAGUUCACCUCUUUGAAGAGAAGAAAAAAUGAAAGUAGUAAAUUAGCCCUUAUUUGUAUAGUGUCUUAUAAGGCCCAUCAUAUAUUAAAUGAUGCUUUGCAUAUAUUGAAUCAUUUAAUCCUCACCUCAGUCCUAUGAACCGAUACUAUCGUUAUUUCCAUCUUACAUUGCAGCAAAGUGAGCUGCACAAAAAUAAUUUUCUGAAAGUCACACAGACAGACCUGAAAAUCAAACAUGAUGAUUCUUACCCUAAAAUAUCACCUGUCUAAAUCAAUUGUUUAGCCAAAGUCUUUUGAAUUUGUUGACAUUGAACUUGUGACAUAUCCAUUGGUGUUGUGGACUGCUGUCUUGAUGAGUGCUACUGGUAUGAGUCCUAGCUAAAGAAAAAAAAAAUGCUUUCAUUUGGCCUGAAACUCUCAACUUAAGAGAAAUACUUUAGGUUUUUUUGGCCUGUGAUAAUUUGUAUGACUGUUUUAGGUAAAGCAACUGAGAGAAGAUAUUUAUCAAAUCACAUUACAAAUUCCUGAUUCAAAAUUGAGUGGAUCGCUGGCUUUUGAAGGUGGCAUGGAGACUGAAUCAGGCUCAGAGCUCAGAAGCAAACAAAUUCUAUACCUCUUUUAGAAAUUGGUCAUAGAGAGAAAACUGUAAAAGUUGACCCCCCACUGUUAAGCUGCUGUGUGGUUCUGAGAGGGGACCCUAAUUCACGGCAGGUUCUGAUUUGACUGGGUCAUUUAUGAUAAUUCCACUUCCCUUUCCAGUACUGAUUGAAAAAGCAGUACUUCGGCCAAUCAGAAAACAACCUUCCCCCAGCUGUCUUUUGCUCAGGAAUGUGUGACCUAACUUGUCCCAGUCCUGAUCAAUGAACACACUUGUCCCAAGCUGAAGGGAGUUAUCUUCUCUCCCACAAGGGUGAAAGUUUUGGGAGUGAAGUCACCCCCGGGGACAGCAGAGGAGAAAGGGACAGGCCCGGAGCAUGGAGGUCUUCAGCUGCUGGACCUGUCAGUACCAAGCCCACACUACCUGUAACUUCGUUUUUGUAGGACAAACACAUUGUGUCGUAGUUUAAGUUUGUUUGAAGCUGACAUUCUGUUAAUUUAACCCAAAUGCAUCUUAAGAACUCAUCUUUAUUCUUGAGAUCCUGCCACAGAAUCCCAGAUUUAAAGGAACAAUUAAGAUCUGUGAAGUUGGAAUCACUGAUAAUUUGGUUCCAACACAUGAAGUGGCCCAAUUCACCACCACACUAGGGAACACACAAUGUAACCAUGUCAGUCACAAGGGAAGCACUUUCAUAUAUAUUAUCUGUAUGUACCUUUAUUCUAUAGCUUGAAUUAUUAUCUAUAGUCUACUUUGUCUAUACUCUUUAAAUGAAAGCACAAAAGAUCAGAGUGGGUUAAUGCUCCUGAACUCUUUGAUUCAGAUGACUCAGGUUAGGAAGGAUGGAGCGCAUAGGUUCUAGAUCAUUUUAGAUGGAAGGAAUUUCUAUUUGCAGAAUGGAACAUUACAUGCCACUUUAAAUAUCAUACACUAUCACUCCUCCCUCACUGCAUUUUCUUAUGGCAAAUCACCAUGUGCGUGACAUUUGGUAAUUCUGAGGUUUAUAUUUCUCAAGUUUCUUUCAGUUAUAAUGUGUGUGUAUGUGCAUUUCUGCAAUACAUAUGAAAUAUAUUUAAUUUAGCCUUUAAUUUCUUUAUUGUCUCAUAAUUCUCCUUUUCUUGGAUUUGCUAACUUAGAACAUUGUAAUGGGAUCCUAAAUGGAAAACAUUUGUUACUCAUUCUGGGGCUGCUAAGUGAAUAAAAUUUGGAUAACAUAGCAAAGAAAGAUGAUUAUCACAUGAGAGUGAAGCAGUCCAAUGCAACAUAAUGUCUAUCGCAGAUGACAAAGUCUCUGUGGAGUCACAUUUGUUGCUUUCAAAAGUCUUAAAUUCUUCAGAGAGUGCUACUGCAAAUACUUUUAAUUCUCAUGAAACAACUGGUCUGGGAAAUUUAAAGGAGCAAGUAACCAACCAGAAAUCAUUUUCCGACUCAACCUUCUAGUGCUUUCUCCUGAGUGUAUUUCUUUUGAAACCAAGAUAACUUGCAUUUGUUGUAGUUUCAGACAUUAACAUGAGAUUAUUCUUAUCAUGAUCAAAAGCUGGAGGAGUUCAAACCCAUGGGGCCAUGUGGAUUGUUCAGAGAUUUUGCAGAACCUAGGGCUGAAUCAUAAGGCUGAGCAAAAGCAGACACCUUGGAAAGAAGAAAAGGUUACGUUAGACUGGUCAGCAUGAUUACCCAGCUUAACUUCAAAGAGCUCGGAACCAAGACAGAAGCAAAUACGGCUUCCCAAAGCCUGUUCUGAGUACUGGUAAUUACAGUGUGUAUGGAUAGAAAGGAUUCCAUGGACAUGGUAUGCAGAAUUUAUUUAGCUGAAGAUCCACUGUGUGUGUGUGUGUGUGUGUGUGUGUGUGUGUGUACUUGUGAUCAUAAUGGGAUCAAAAACACACCUUGGAAAAUAUUGGGCUAUGACAUGGAAAAGUUCCUUUUGAAAUAGUUAUCUAUAUGAAAAUAAAGAAGAUACAGUGGAGAACAUUUAUUUCCUCUUACCCAUUUUUGUGUGGAAGUAUUGCUUUAAAUCAUUGUUUAAGCUGAAAUAAUAAUAACAGUUUGGAUAGUGUAUAUCAUAAUUUGUUUUCAAAAUAGUUACAUCUUCAUUUCUUCUUUUUAUUUCUAAGGAUACCCUGAGAUGAAAAUUAGAAAACUGUGGACCACAGGCCCAGUUUGGCCAACAACCUAUUUGGUAUAGUACGAAAACUAGAAAUAUUUUAAAGGUUUAUUAAGAAAAAGUAAUAUCUGUCAGAGAUGAUACAUGUCAUGCAAAGCCUAAAACAUUUAGUAUCUGUUUUUUUACAGAAAAAUUUUGCCAGCCCCUGGACUUGGUUAUACGAUUAUGCAGUACUAACACGUGACACCUAUAUCUCAGUGCUUUUGCCCAAUGAAGUACAUUAUUUGUCAGUGCCACAUGCCUAAAACAGCUUGGCAGGAGUCUCUGUGUCUCAGGGCCACUCAGAAAUCAGGCCUGACAGAAUCUCCAGGUCAGUGCGUGCUUAACAGUCCCCACAGCAACAGGGACACGAUGUGCAGAAUCCUGGCUCAGAACUUGCCCCUGGGCUCCGAGUGCAGCGCCUCUGCUCACAUUCCAGGGGCCAAGCUGGUUGCGCAGCUCCUGAUGGCUGCAGAGGAAAUGCACUCCAACUUCAUGCCUGGAAGAGGUGCAUUCAGAAAUGAGUGGCGAACAAAGAUAUGAAUGCAGGGUGCACCCGCGCAGGAAAAAGUCAUGUGUGUGCACAGGAGGCUUGUUCCAGAAGAAAGAGGCUGGAACCACACCCAUGAAACCUGAUUCACUGAUCCCUCUAGAUCUAUGUAUUUAUAGUGCUAUCGCUAUGACAUAAACUGAUGUGUAGACACAUUUCUAUUAUGUGGGAGCUGAAUUUUUGUUCUAUGUACCUGUUUAUUAUAUACUGUAUACGAAAGCAUACAUAUAUACAUGUGAAAUAGAUUUUUGGGUAGCAAUGUAUCUAUCAAGAGAUAUCUACUAUAUAAUUACUAGAUUAUUAUCUGAGAUAUACUCAUUUUUAUGUAAUGGAGGGUGGUCUGAUAAACAACUUGAUGCAGAUUGAUAAAUGUGGGCUUCAGUGCUAAAUAUUUAAUAGAUAUAUCUAUAGGAUAGGAAUUAAAACAUAUUACAAGUGAAAUCAGGUCUCAUAGUGCAUGGAUUUCAGAUGUCAUGUUUGUAUGUGUGUAUGUGCAUACAAUCUAUAUUAGUGGUAUUACUAAAUAUAUUUAUACUUCCUUCAUAUACAAAUAGAAACAUACACAGAGAGGAAGAGAAGUAUGUAUGUGUGUGCAUAAGACCCUGUCACGCAUGAGUUACAAGAAGAAUAUGAAAAUAAAUUUAAAUAUCAUCUUUAGAGGUAGUAUAUUCUAGUCUCAAAGAGACUAACACUUCUUGGUAUAAGAUAACAUGUGUUACCUUACAUCAUUGUAUUUACCUCAAAUCUGUCUGAAUUUUAAAUGAUGCAAUUUUCACCUCAAAGCCUGUCAUUUUAAGGAGCUAUUUUCUGAAAGAAUAGAAGGAAGGGAUUUAGGAAGAGAAAAGGAUGGAGGGAAGGAAAGAAAGGAAGAAACUUUAUUUUAAUGAGAAUAGUUAACUUUUAAUCAAACAUUUUGAAGGUGGGCCUUGUGUGCAAAAUGUUUGCUUAAACUAAAGGCACCACAAUUUUUCCAGAGAACUAAAAACAUUUGGAAAAUCAUAAAAGGAUAAACAUUAGCAUUAGAAGGAAGCAUACAGUUGAUUCUAGUCUGUCGUCCUUGUUCUACAGUUGAAGAUGGUGAGGUUAGUUAUGCAGAUUUCUGCUUAAUCUUACACGUGUACUUCCUGUUCACUAAUCCCCCUCUACCUUUCUAAGUAAAUGCCGUCUAUAACUUGGAGGUUGUGCUGGAGAGGCAUUUGUAUGAUUUCAGGUUGGAAUACUCACUCUGACAAAGAAGAGUGGGCCCUCUCCUGAAAAAGGGAAACCUGCUUGGUUUCAAGGUCCCUGUGAAUCGACAGCAUCCUCACAACAGGUCUACAUGCACAAGGUCAAAAUCGAUCACCCACCUCUGAACGUGUGCUGGCCACAGCUUUCUUGGCUCAGCAGUGAAGCUCGAAAAUUGUGGGUGAUAAAUAAUUAAAGGGACCAUUUUAUGAGUUUCACGUCUGCAUCUUUUCUUGGAUCAGAGACAAGAAACCUAUGAGGUCAAUUAAUGUCACUGUGAAGUGUGAUACAUGCAGAGUAAAUGUAUUCACAUACAUCAGACAUUAUGGGCCAAGACUAUGGAAGGGCCAGGCAUUGGAAAUUUGGAGGUCAGCAACCAUAGUGACCUGUCGGAGGAGAAACUGCUCAGCUAUUCUGGGACGAUGAACUUUCGAUAAGGAGUCAGGAUUCUGGGCUGUCCCUGCAUUGGAACUAUUUCUUCUCCCAGCAAAAAGCAUAUUAUUAGAAUCUCCUCGACUAGGACGACAUUGAAUUGCAAACCAGAUUCUUGUGCCCUGACUUGGUUACCGGAUCAACAGCUUCCCUUCAGAGGGUUUUCCUCCUCACCUCGCCUGGCCCUCGGGCUCACUCGCCUGGGCUCUGACGUUGCCAGGUCAGUCAUCCGGCUCGAGCAUGAGUCCUGGAGCAAGCCUUGUCAAGGCACAGCCUCCCUCUGGCACUUGUGGAUUCUGGGCUAACUCAGUCACAGGCUCACCUCCCCCAUCUUUUGCCUGGGUUCAGCUCCCUGUGUUGAGAGCUUGAGAACCCAGCCCUUCUUCCACGCAUGCGACUUUGCCUCCUCGCUUCUCUCGCUUGCCUCACGACACAUUUUGCUCUGGGUACCAAGCGGAGGUAAUCCCUGGUCAUUGUUAAAUGUAUUAUCCACAUUGCUACCACCUGUUUGCUUAUUUCUUUCCCCAGCUGCCCUGGGGAAAGGGCUAAAGGUAGAUGUGCUGUACUCCUGCAUCCUCAGCAACCAGCUUUGUGCUUGGAAUUGAGUGUGGACACAAAGCACUUUCACUCAUGAAACCUUUGAACCUGGAUCAGGGUGACUGAGGCGACACGCUGUCCAAUCCUGAACCCGUCACGAUGUGACAGUGUAACCCUAGGCAAGUGAUGUGGUCUGCUAGGUUCUCGGCACCCUCAUCUGCAAAGCAAGGAUGAGUGAGGUGAUCGCUAAGAUGACUUUCAGCUCCAAAAUUCUUAAUUCUGCUCCUGAUUCAGACUUUGAAGAUGAAAUCUUUCCAAACAAUAGCACUCAGGUUUCACACUAAAUGCCAGGUCCUAAUUGUUCACGUCGCUGUUGACACUGUCUUUCAGACAAAGACUAUUUUUUAAAGGAUUGGCACAUACCUUUCUCAUAUUUGCUAAAAGGCUUACCAGCUCUCUCUCCAGCUACAGGACCAACCUAAGAGAGGAAUCGCCACCUAGUGGACAAAUUCCUAGCCGGUGGCCUCCCGCGAGAGUAAGGGGAUGCUUUGUUCUCUGGCUGGUGGGUCCCACCCUUGGUUUCUCCUUCGCAUGUCUGGUGCUCACAUGUCAACCUCGCGGUUGCUUUUGCUGUCUCCGCAUCCCAGAAGUACUCCUUUCGGUGAGAGAAGUGUGUUUCCUUGGAUCUCAUCUAGUGUUUACCAAUUUGUUUCACAUUUACAACGUGGUAGGCAUUUUAAGGGAAAAGAUAAGGUCCAGAGAAGCCGCUCUGGGUCUCUUUUGGCUUUCUAUCAAUUUGGUUGGAAAACAAUCCUUGAGCCUUCAGAGCCGCCUUGGCCAGACAAGCAGAAAAGGGAGAGUAGAGUUCAUGUCUCCAGUGCAGAGCAAACCACGGAGCCCAACCUUUCAAUCAGCGCCUCACCGAAGGCUCAGUAUUUUUCAAUUUUCCUUGAUUUAAAAGGAAACCUUUCAGGGGCUAAUCUAGGGCUUAGGAUUAGUAGGGUUAUUUCAACCUGAAGUGGGAUCUUUGCCUAGAUAAUGUUUUCCCUGAGUUAAGGAAAUCUAAAUGACCUCUACUGAAAAUGAACAAAAGGCAUGAUUGCACUAGGCUUCCUUUCUCCACCUCUGAGAAAAAUAUCCACGUGAGACGCCCGUUGAGGUUCAAAGAAGCUUAGGAAAAGGUAGUCUUGGCUAAUUUACGAAACAUUAAGAGGAUUGCUAUCAACCUCCCACCCAGCUUCUGAUGCCUCUAGGGUACUUUAUUUAAUUCUCACAGCAGACACAUGCUCAUUUAACAGAGCUAAUGAUUCCCUCCAGCAGUCCCAGGUUGGCUAGCUAUUCAUAUUAUAAUUGCAUUGCGAAGGCUCUAUAUUUCUCUUCACAAACAUAUUUUCCGUUUUUCAUUAAUUUUUCUUUGCCACUAAAUGCCUUCAGCCCGCUCAGAACAUUUUGAUAUUUUAAUUUCUGUUUCCUACCACCGCCAACCCAGAGCAAAGAUUUCACUUCUCCGAAGAUUUUCAGUUAAUUUCUCUGAUAUUUCUUGCUAUGUCUCAAAAAAAUUCUGAGCACCUAAAAAUUCUCUGAACCUAAAAAUAAUUCUUUUAUUGAUCCUGAUAGCUAUUCAAAUUAAAGUUGUCUCCCUCCCUCCCUCUCCCCCUUCUUCCUUCCUUAAAAUUCAUUCAGAGCAGUUUGAGCUGAUGUACUAAGAUCAUCUACAGACAUAUUUCCCAUCUGCAAAUCCUCAGUGCUAACUACAGCGCCCAAAGGAUUCUGUCCAGAUUGCUAAGUAAUAUGCUUGUCCCUCUGCUCUUGAACAGGCUUUGUAGAUUUGUUCUUCUUACUUGCACCUUCCAGAGAGCCCGUAGGUCCAUGCAAAUACCCAGAUAGGAAGCACUGUGGGAAAAGGAGUAGUUGUAACCCUAGAGCAGUGACAGUGAACCACUCACAGCUUUCAAGUAUAACAAAGUUGCCUGUGGCACUCAUGCCAGAGAUUCACCACCACUGCCCUAGAGUUUGCCAUGCUUGUCCCAUCUACUGCCACCAAAGAAAAGUCCAGUACAAAAGCUGUCUUUGUUCCUGCCAUGUAUUUCAUACCCUGGGCAAUAUCCUUACAGAGAACGUGGCCAAAGAGCACUUUCAAAAGCAAUGUACCAAUAAAUCAGUAUGCAGUACAUAUCUGUAUCUAUUGGGCUAUCUUAGGUAUUGAGUAGAAAAUACAAAUGUAAGGCACGGCUUUUGAAUUCUGAGGACUUACACUAUAAUUAGAAUGCAAGGCUAAUGUGAAACUUCCAUAGGAAACAGAUUAUGUAUCAUAAAUCGUGUUUAUUUUUCCUAUAGAAUAAAUGGAAGAAUUGAGGCUUAUUGAUUGAUCAAGGAUAUGAUGCUAAACCUUUUGUAGAAUUAACCAUAAGUACUACAUUGGAUUAAGUUGGUAUGUUUUUAACAUAUACACAAGAACUCAAACAGAGAAACAUGAUGUAGUUGAUAGGAUGGAAGCUUGACUAAAACAAAGGGUAAAGGCCUAGGGAUACAGCUCAGCAGCACAGCACCUGCCUGGCAAGCACAAGCUCCUGAGUUUAAUUCCUGGUACCAAAAAAUUCAAAAUAUUAAAAAAAAAUUUGAAAAGGGUGAAUAUGACUUUGUUUGGGAAAAUAAUAGGAUCAUUGCAGAUAACUGAGUUAAAGAUCUUAAGAUGCGAUCAUGCUAGUUAUCAAGGUAGGCCCUAAAUCCUAGAGAGGUGCACUCACUGGACACAAAAGGGAAGACACAGACCCAGGAGAAACCAUGUGAGUGGAACCAAAUGCUGAAAUUACACAGCCAUAAACCAGUGAGGCUGAAGAGGUGAGGAACACUUCUCCCCCACAGCUUUGAAUGGACAGCAGCUCUGCCAACACUUUGAUUCCAUAACUUUAGUGAUAAUAAAUUUCCCUUGAUUUAGGCCAUCAAGUUUGCAGUAAUUCAUAAUGGUAACUGUAAAAUACUAAUACGCAGGGAAGUUCCUACUGCUAUAACAAAAUACCACAGACUGGUAAUUUAUAAAUGACAGAGAUUUAUUUCUCAUGGUUCUGAAGGCUAGAAUGUCCAAGAUCAAAGUGCCUGCCAUAGGUUGCUGUCUGGUCAGGGCCUGGUCUCUGCUUCCAAGGUGGCGCCUUGUGGCUGCAUCUUCCAGAGAAGAGGAAUGCUGUAUCCUCACAUGGCCAAUGGGAUGGAAAAGCAAAAAGGGGCUGCCUACCUCCCUCCAGCCCUUUGAUGAAUACCAAUCCCAUUCACAAAGCCAGAGACCAAACUGCCCAGUCAUCUCCCAGGUGUUCCACUUCUUAGUGCCAUCAAUGUGGGGAUUAAGCUCUGAAUUUUGGAAGAACAUAUACAUUCACACCAUAGCACAUGAUAACCCAGAGGAAGAUCUUUUGGGUGGAUCUCAUUUUACUCUCUAUAAUUCCCACCUUAUAUCUACCGCAAUGAACCAGGAAUGAAAUGUAGGCUUAAGAAAAUUUAAAAGAGCUUCUCCGUGAGUAGGAUCCUUGGAGAGAUGCCUGGGAGUGAUGACAAGAUUUAGUGAAACUUAUCCUUGUGUAUUUGCUUUGCACCCACCUUUUCCCUCCAAAAUUCUGAGUAACAAAGAAACACAUUAAGGAAAAAGCUUUGGAUUGUCUAUUACCUUCAACCCAGUCUGCCUAGGUUCUGUAUGCAAAUCUAGUUUUAAAAUUGUAUUUUCUUGUAUGUAGUUCAAUUCAGAAAACAUCACAACCAUUUAACAUAUUCAAAUUCAUUUUGGUGAGCACUUUGAUCUUCCAUGGCAUUUACUUCACCAUUUUGGAAUCUUUAAAGCUGUGCUAAAUUUGAUGACCAAAGCCAAAAUCAUACGUUGCUGAAAUUUGAUCCAGGAUAUGCAAAAUUAAAAGCAUUUGUGUCUUACUCAUAAGACCCACUUUAUCAAAUAUCCAUUGUUUGCAGUCAGUAUUUUCCCUUUAGUGGUCAUCUUGGGGGAAGAUUUUAGCUAAACAUCUGAAAUAAUGAGAUUGAUUCCUACCUAAUGCCAGUUAUAGAGGAGGCACUCAAUAAAUAUUUGUUCAGUAGAUGAAUUUAUUCACUGAAGAGUUUGAGAUUGACUUUAGGUUACCCUCGAGUUAGGAUAUGCACAAAUAAACCCAUUAAAAGUGAAGGUAUCUGCAGAAGUCCCAGAUAGGCAUGGAAUAAAGCCCAUCUUACUUCUUUAUGCAGAAGAAACAGCUGCGAACUCCUUAUAAAGCCAAAGAGUGAGGCUAACCUGGAAUCAAGAGGAAGGGUGCAGACUGGGAAUUGCUGGAGUGAGCUGGUUGCCGUUGAUUGUUACAAUGCAGAGAUCUGAACUUUGUGUUACCACCCAGCUCAUAUUUUUAUGUAAAGCCAGAAACAUAGAUGAGAACACUUGCUGUUUUAAGAGGUAGCAAGGAAUUCACUAAAAUGAGAAGGAAAGGAAAUAAGUAAGCACUCUGACGUCCAAACAGAACACAUCUGUAGGCUAGAGCCCAAAGUCUGGGUCUCUGCUUCUUAGCUUCUUCUGUUUCCUCCCCAUUCCUUGGCCUUGGAUUUUCUCUCCAGCCCCUCUGUUGGCUGCCAGUCCUUUCAGCUUCUUGAACCACUAGUUGUGCGGAAAGCAGCAUCUGAGACAGAAAUGGUGCUGGACGGAAGAUCUGGAGAGCUGAUCAGGCUCUGAACAGGUGAACGGUUCAUUGGGGGUGGGACAGGCUGGGAGGCCGGGCCACCGCCUUGUGCAGCAGCCCCAUCUCUGCGUCUCAAGCAGGACUCAUCGUCAGCAAAAUAACUCAAGAUUUUUCAGAAGGCAUCUAGGUUUCUCAAAACAAAUGAAGUUGAUCUGAGGUAAAAUUCUGCCGCUUUUUUUGUGUAUAUAUUUUUAUCCAUUAGCACGGAUAUUAGUUGAACUUAACUUCCUAAACCCUAGCACUUACUGGGAGAUGUCUUAGUCACUUUGCUCACUGGAAGGACACAGUACCCAACCCCCACAAUCUAAAGCAGAAAAGAUUGAUUUUGGUUCAAGUUUCAGUCCAUAGUUGGCUGGAUCCCUGCAGGAUGGCAUGGCACGGGCACAUCAGGGACAUGGCGGGCAUGGGGGAGUUGCUCACAGCCUGGUGAACCGGAAGCAGAGCAGGAAGGAAGAGCCGGGGAAGAAGAAAAACGCUUCCAGGCCACGCAUGCCCCUGUGCCUCACCUCUUCCAGCCAGACCCGCCUCCUCCAGCCCAGUUAGCUGUAAACUCAUAGUAUCCACCUGUGAUACCCAGUCACCUGUCACAGCACUUCCUGUGGCAUAGGAGGCUUUCCGGGGAUGUCGAGAUGCAACCCAUAAUAGAUGGACAACAGAAUACUUUACCUUUUCUUCAGUAGCACAAGCUACUUCCAAGCAUAAGCAGUAUUCUCUUUACAUUCCUUUGAGAUUCCUUUUACUUGAAAGUCAAAUGCAGAAAUGCAGUCAUUUUUGUCUGGUUCUUUCCUACAGCUGUAACCUCUGUGCUCUCACUAUGCUCACACUGUGACAUACAUUUCUAGUACGUGACCAGCAGGUGCCCAGUUCCAUGUAACAAAUGCUGGUACAGGUUGAGUAACCCUUAUCUGAAAGGCUUGAGCCAUGACUGUUUCAAAUUUGGGAUUUUUGUGGAUUGUGGAAUAUUCAGCUUUGCACAAGGAAACAUCUGGAGAUGGGCUACACAGGCAGAAGGUAAUCCCAUGCAAUAAUUCUACUGCCUCUGUGUUUUGGCUGUAACCUGUCAUCGCAUGGGAGCAAGUAUGGAAUUUUCUAUCAUGGAGUAAUGUUGGCCCUCAAAGCAUUUCAUGCUUUGAAGCAUUAAAGAUCUCAGAGUUUGACGCUAACCUGUGAUAACAAUGGUAACGGACAAUACAUAAAUACAUGAAAAAACCCAGAACAACAAACCAAACCCAAAUAGCAAUAACAAGAAAUAAAGCUCCUACCAGUUGAUUCUGAAGAGGAAGGAGAAGAGUAGUAAUUAAGGAAAUGCACAUUAAAAGGAUAAUAAGCAGUAUUACUCACUUGAUCAGUGUAAACUAAAAAUCCUAUUCCACCUCAUGUUUGUGAGGACACAGGCAAAUGUUUGCACGAAUCAGUAAACAUCUGCAGGAAAGUGUGAAAAAGGUGCACCUUUGCUACCUUGCUGCCAGGAUGCCUAUCACAGCUUUGUUUUGGUGAAGAGUCAGUUGUGUACAUCUGCUUUCAAAUACCCAUUCAGUGACAUCACAUUGGGAUCUCAAAAUUCUUCAUGUUGGAAAUAUGUAAACUACAGAAAUUGGCAAGUGCUGGAAAUUAGUGAUUCCCCACCUCCAACGGGGAGCCAAUUGCUAAUCAGCAGCACGGUGCUAGUUCUGUCUGCCUUGUUCAUACACUCCUGAAGCAAGCUCCUCUUGCUGUUAUCCAUCACAUGCUUAUCUCUAAUGGCAAUUAACUUUGCCUUCACUAAUUACAACUUUAGGAAAGAAAAAAUUUGGCCACUAUGAUUAAUUUCAGCUUGAUAAAAUGAUCUUAAGAAAGGUUUGAUAGAAUGCCAUCUACUGCCUCUGAGGAUAUAUUUUCUCUAUCUUGACUCCAAUCAUCCAUCCACCCACCCAUCCAUCCACUCUUCCACCCACCCAUCCAUCCAUCCACCCAUCCAU